Molecule: ribosomal RNA, 500 nt
Filed under: uncultured bacterium
Lineage: Bacteria
Description: partial 16S ribosomal RNA
Rfam family: Bacterial small subunit ribosomal RNA
Source: RNAcentral
AUUGAACGCUGGCGGCAUGCCUUACACAUGCAAGUCGAACGGCAGCACGGGAGCAAUCCUGGUGGCGAGUGGCGAACGGGUGAGUAAUAUAUCGGAACGUGCCCAGUCGUGGGGGAUAACGCAGCGAAAGCUGUGCUAAUACCGCAUACGAUCUAUGGAUGAAAGCGGGGGAUCGCAAGACCUCGCGCGAUUGGAGCGGCCGAUAUCAGAUUAGCUAGUUGGUGAGGUAAAGGCUCACCAAGGCGACGAUCUGUAGCUGGUCUGAGAGGACGACCAGCCACACUGGAACUGGGACACGGUCCAGACUCCUACGGGAGGCAGCAGUGGGGAAUUUUGGACAAUGGGCGAAAGCCUGAUCCAGCAAUGCCGCGUGCAGGAUGAAGGCCUUCGGGUUGUAAACUGCUUUUGUACGGAACGAAACGGUGAGCUCUAAUACAGUUUGCUAAUGACGGUACCGUAAGAAUAAGCACCGGCUAACUACGUGCCAGCCGCCGCGGUAA